CAGUAGCCGCGGGAAUACGAAGGGUGCAAGCGUUAAUCGGAAUUACUGGGCGUAAAGCGUGCGUAGGCGGUGAGUUAAGUCUGCUGUGAAAUCCCCGGGCUCAACCUGGGAAUGGCAAUGGAUACUGGCAAGCUAGAGUGUGUCAGAGGAUGGUGGAAUUCCCGGUGUAGCAGUGAAAUGCGUAGAGAUCGGAAGGAACAUCUGUGGCGAAGGCGACUAUCUGGGCCAACACUGACACUGAGGCACGAAAGCGUGGGGAGCAAACAGGAUUAGAUACCCCCGUAGUCCCUGUCUCUUAUAC
RNAcentral lists this ribosomal RNA (301 nucleotides) under uncultured bacterium. RNAcentral describes it as "partial 16S ribosomal RNA". It matches the Rfam family "Bacterial small subunit ribosomal RNA", at positions 509 to 807 of the family's 1533-position model. The record is from RNAcentral.